This 278-nucleotide unclassified non-coding RNA is filed under the name Helotiaceae sp. RNAcentral's name for it is "partial contains 5.8S ribosomal RNA, internal transcribed spacer 2, and large subunit ribosomal RNA". The stretch from base 1 to 71 matches the Rfam family "5.8S ribosomal RNA", at positions 84 to 154 of the family's 154-position model. Lineage: Eukaryota; Fungi; Ascomycota; Leotiomycetes; Helotiales; Helotiaceae. The record is from RNAcentral.
GUGAAUCAUCGAAUCUUUGAACGCACAUUGCGCCCCGUGGUAUUCCGCGGGGCAUGCCUGUUCGAGCGUCAUUAUGACCAAUCACGCCUCGCGUGGUCUUGGGGCCUGCCGCCGGGCAGCCCCUAAACGCAGUGGCGGCGCCGCGUGGCUCUCAGCGUAGUAACUCACCUCGCUCCAGAGCCCGCGCGGAUGCUCGCUAGCAACCCCCCAACUCUCAAGGUUGACCUCGGAUCAGGUAGGGAUACCCGCUGAACUUAAGCAUAUCAAUAAGCGGAGGA